UUCAGUGACAGUGAUAAAACAGUGAUGGGCCUUCCAGCGAUCGCAUAUCUGAAUGUAAAAAGAGGUCCAAUCUGCCUAUGGCACUGUUUUCAGUGUCCCAUCAGCAGUGAAAAUUCCCACCCACCUAAUGCCAAAGCUGACCUUCAGCCACUUUAGCUUUCAUAUCUUCCACUGGAGUUGGUCCUCUGUGCUUCCGCUACAGUCAGUGGAGGGAAGUGCUUUUAGUUGUUGGUUGACCUAUUUUAGGCAUCAACUUUAAGUCUGAAACCUUAAGUUUAAAACAAAGCAUGUUUUUAAGGG
Long non-coding RNA from Pezoporus flaviventris, 300 nucleotides. RefSeq lists it as uncharacterized. The transcript has 2 exons. Lineage: Eukaryota; Metazoa; Chordata; Aves; Psittaciformes; Psittacidae. The record is from RefSeq and is a predicted model, not a curated record.